Small nucleolar RNA from Perognathus longimembris pacificus (Pacific pocket mouse), 102 nucleotides. RefSeq annotates it as small nucleolar RNA U13. NCBI's taxonomy places the organism in Eukaryota, Metazoa, Chordata, Mammalia, Rodentia, Heteromyidae. The record is from RefSeq and is a predicted model, not a curated record. The transcript has a single exon.
AUCCUUUUGUGGUUCACAAACCUAUGAUUAAUGUUGGAGACCCUGUGCAAGAGGCACCUCCCUGAACCCUUGUUAAGAUAUUGGCAUAUUAUCCAUUCAAUA